RNAcentral lists this non-coding RNA (24 nucleotides) under Arabidopsis thaliana (thale cress). Lineage: Eukaryota; Viridiplantae; Streptophyta; Magnoliopsida; Brassicales; Brassicaceae. The record is from RNAcentral.
AGGGGAAUUCAGUCGUCUGUUGGC